This 497-nucleotide ribosomal RNA is filed under the name uncultured bacterium. Its description in RNAcentral is "partial 16S ribosomal RNA". It matches the Rfam family "Bacterial small subunit ribosomal RNA", at positions 28 to 507 of the family's 1533-position model. The record is from RNAcentral.
GAUGAACGCUGGCGGCGUGCCUAAUACAUGCAAGUCGAGCGAACAGAUAAGGAGCUUGCUCCUUUGACGUUAGCGGCGGACGGGUGAGUAACACGUGGGUAACCUACCUAUAAGACUGGAAUAACUCCGGGAAACCGGGGCUAAUGCCGGAUAACAUUUAGAACCGCAUGGUUCUAAAGUGAAAGAUGGUUUUGCUAUCACUUAUAGAUGGACCCGCGCCGUAUUAGCUAGUUGGUAAGGUAAAGGCUUACCAAGGCAACGAUACGUAGCCGACCUGAGAGGGUGAUCGGCCACACUGGAACUGAGACACGGUCCAGACUCCUACGGGAGGCAGCAGUAGGGAAUCUUCGGCAAUGGGCGAAAGCCUGACGGAGCAACGCCGCGUGAGUGAUGAAGGUCUUCGGAUCGUAAAACUCUGUUAUUAGGGAGGAACAAAUGUGUAAGUAACUGUGCACGUCUUGACGGUACCUAAUCAGAAAGCCACGGCUAACUACGUG